RNAcentral lists this ribosomal RNA (253 nucleotides) under uncultured bacterium. Its description in RNAcentral is "partial 16S ribosomal RNA". It matches the Rfam family "Bacterial small subunit ribosomal RNA", at positions 524 to 776 of the family's 1533-position model. The record is from RNAcentral.
UACGUAGGGUGCGAGCGUUAUUCGGAAUUACUGGGCGUAAAGCGUGCGCAGGCGGUUAUAUAAGUCAGUUGUGAAAUCCCCGGGCUCAACCUGGGAAUUGCAUCUGUGACUGUAUAGCUAGAGUACGGUAGAGGGGGAUGGAAUUCCGCGUGUAGCAGUGAAAUGCGUAGAUAUGCGGAGGAACACCGAUGGCGAAGGCAAUCCCCUGGACCUGUACUGACGCUCAUGCACGAAAGCGUGGGGAGCAAACAGG